RNAcentral lists this ribosomal RNA (402 nucleotides) under uncultured bacterium. RNAcentral describes it as "bacterial SSU rRNA". It matches the Rfam family "Bacterial small subunit ribosomal RNA", at positions 28 to 412 of the family's 1533-position model. The record is from RNAcentral.
GACGAACGCUGGCGGCGUGCCUAACACAUGCAAGUCGAACGGAGUUUAGCAAAUGAGACCUUCGGGUGGAUUUUGCGAAGACUUAGUGGCGGACGGGUGAGUAACGCGUGAGUAACCUGCCGAGAAGAGGGGGACAACAGUUGGAAACGACUGCUAAUACCGCAUAACAUAUAUAUGCCGCAUGACAUAUAUAUCAAAGAUUUAUCGCUUAUGGAUGGACUCGCGUCAGAUUAGAUAGUUGGUGAGGUAACGGCUCACCAAGUCGACGAUCUGUAGCCGAACUGAGAGGUUGAUCGGCCACAUUGGGACUGAGACACGGCCCAGACUCCUACGGGAGGCAGCAGUGGGGAAUAUUGCGCAAUGGGGGAAACCCUGACGCAGCAACGCCGCGUGAAGGAAGAA